AGGUGGAUUCAAUCAGAAUAAUAAUGAGAGCUUCAACCAACUAGUGUGGAAAAUAUGCCCAAAAACCGUGAAUACUAGUUCUACUAUCGUACAAAUUGCUGCAUACAUAGCUACUUGUAUAUUUAAUGAAGGUACAAAUUCAUUAUUAAUGAUUAUGGAUACCCUAGGACUUAAUUGUGGGUCUAAUUCCCAUCGGCAUGCUGAAAAAUUGGACGCUGCACGUGUAAAAGUGGCAGAUCAGCGCGCCAACGACAACACCCGGGAAGGCAGAAUGCUUCGUCGGCAACAGCAAAUUGAUGUUUUGGAAACUUCCACAGUGGCUGAAGAACUAUUAUAUGGCCCAGGAAUAGAUGACUCGAUAUGAAUCUCCAAGGACUUAUGAUUGUCACCGCAAGGACCUUUUUUUGGAACUGGGUCAACACAGACAGCUGUAACUUUGGAAAUUAAAUUUUUUUUUUUUUUGAAAUUUUCGUGACUUCAAGUCAAAACAUUGUAUAAUAAUGCCCUAUUACUACUUUUGUAAAAUAACAUGAUUUAAUAGCAAAAAAAAAAUACUGAAAA
Cotesia glomerata is the source of this 561-nucleotide long non-coding RNA. RefSeq lists it as uncharacterized. The record is from RefSeq and is a predicted model, not a curated record. The transcript has 2 exons. NCBI's taxonomy places the organism in Eukaryota, Metazoa, Arthropoda, Insecta, Hymenoptera, Braconidae.